GGUCCCGCCUGCCCAGUGACUCUUUAAACGGCCGCGGUAUCCUAACCGUGCAAAGGUAGCAUAAUCACUUGUCCCCUAAAUAGGGACUGGUAUGAAUGGCUAAAUGAGGACUAAACUGUCUCUUGCGGACUGGCCAAUGAAAUUGAUUUUCCAGUACAAAAGCUGGAAUGUACCCAUAAGACGAGAAGACCCUGUGGAGCUUCAAAACCAAAUCACCCAGCAUGUUCAUUGGAUUUUUAGUUGGGGCGACUUCGGAAUAUAAUAAAACUUCCAAAAUAAAUUAAUUUCAUCAAGAUUAACACACCAAAAUUUUUUUAUAGAUCCAGCAAAUAAUUUUAUUUGUCUGAUCAAUGAACCAAGUUACCCCAGGGAUAACAGCGCAAUCUCCUUUUAGAGUCCAUAUCGACAAGGGG
RNAcentral lists this ribosomal RNA (413 nucleotides) under Lacerta viridis (green lizard). RNAcentral's name for it is "partial 16S ribosomal RNA". It matches the Rfam family "Bacterial large subunit ribosomal RNA", at positions 1851 to 2515 of the family's 2925-position model. Lineage: Eukaryota; Metazoa; Chordata; Lepidosauria; Squamata; Lacertidae. The record is from RNAcentral.